CUUUUGCAACUGCCACUCUGCACUGAGAGGGAUUUAGAAAUUUUAGCUGUUUCUGAUAACUGAGGACAAAGGAAUGAAGAAGUGGUACUAAAUUCAGUGAAGGAGAAAACGUGCAUCAUUACCCAAUGUAACACUUCAAGAAUGGACAAGAGCAAAAGACAAGGUGACAUUCAGUGAGAUGGAGAGUGUCAAACGUCCAUCUGAUGCAGAAGAAAUGCUCUCUCUGGAAUGCCAGAUGAUUCUGUGGAAGCUGCUGCCAGAGAAGAUCACGGUGACCAAACCUUUGUAGGUGAUCUGACACACAGAUGAGUAACUAGGAGACAAACUUACAACAAAUGAUGAUAGCAGUUUUGAAAAAACUAAUUUAAUGUUUUAAGAGUUUGAAAAAUGUCUAGUUUGAGUACUUAUGAAAGGGUAGACUAAUGCUCACUACGGAGUUUUCAAACUGUAGCUCUGGUUUAGAGGGACUUUGCAUCUGAGCUGGU
Long non-coding RNA from Pezoporus flaviventris, 485 nucleotides. RefSeq lists it as uncharacterized. The transcript is spliced from 3 exons. The record is from RefSeq and is a predicted model, not a curated record. NCBI's taxonomy places the organism in Eukaryota, Metazoa, Chordata, Aves, Psittaciformes, Psittacidae.